CUCUUGGCACUAGGAUAAAUUUCCCACAAGAUGGCUCUUGCAGUAACAAAUAUCCCAUUUGGCGUUUCACUUCUAAAUUCGGAAUGGAGUUAGGUGUUUCAACCAAAUCAAGCACCAAAAU
RNAcentral lists this ribosomal RNA (121 nucleotides) under Flexiglena variabilis. The record is from RNAcentral. Lineage: Eukaryota; Euglenozoa; Euglenophyceae; Euglenales; Phacaceae.